This is a non-coding RNA of Ailuropoda melanoleuca (giant panda), 73 nucleotides long. The record is from Rfam. NCBI's taxonomy places the organism in Eukaryota, Metazoa, Chordata, Mammalia, Carnivora, Ursidae.
ACCUGGCUGGCUUAGUUGGUAGAGCAUGCAACUUUUGAUCUUGGGGUUGUGAGUUCAAGCCCCAUGUUGGGUA